This 490-nucleotide ribosomal RNA is filed under the name uncultured bacterium. RNAcentral describes it as "partial 16S ribosomal RNA". It matches the Rfam family "Bacterial small subunit ribosomal RNA", at positions 29 to 507 of the family's 1533-position model. The record is from RNAcentral.
AUUGAACGCUGGCGGCAUGCCUUACACAUGCAAGUCGAACGGCAUCGCGGGAAAGCUUGCUUUCCUGGCGGCGAGUAGCGAACGGGUGAGUAACACAUCGGAACGUACCGGCUAGUGGGGGAUAACCCGUCGAAAGACGGGCUAAUACCGCAUACGCUCUUCGGAGGAAAGCAGGGGACCUUUGGGCCUUGCGCUAGCCGAGCGGCCGAUGUCCGAUUAGCUAGUUGGUGGGGUAAAGGCCUACCAAGGCGACGAUCGGUAGCGGGUCUGAGAGGACGAUCCGCCACACUGGGACUGAGACACGGCCCAGACUCCUACGGGAGGCAGCAGUGGGGAAUCUUGGACAAUGGGGGCAACCCUGAUCCAGCAAUGCCGCGUGGGUGAAGAAGGCCUUCGGGUUGUAAAGCCCUUUCGGCAGGGAAGAAAUCGGCGGGGCGAAUAACCCUGCUGGAUGACGGUACCUGCAGAAGAAGCACCGGCUAACUACGUG